This is a long non-coding RNA of Dermacentor andersoni, 2490 nucleotides long. RefSeq lists it as uncharacterized. The record is from RefSeq and is a predicted model, not a curated record. Lineage: Eukaryota; Metazoa; Arthropoda; Arachnida; Ixodida; Ixodidae.
CUCGAAUGAUAAGCGGCUCGAAUUAAGCGGCUCGAAUGAUAACUGUAGAAGCGUUAUUCAGAACACACGGAAUUGUCCUCCACUUCCAGCAGCGUUCUCUCUACUUCCUUUUUAAAUAAAAAGAUGUUGAUCCAUAAAUAUUUUCAUAAACAACGGUUACAUUUAAUUUUCGCUUUUUCUUCCUGUUUUGCUGUUGCCUUGGCUCUGUCCCUUAGUAGAUCGCUUAAUUUCUCAAAUCCUUGCGACUCUUGUUUCCAAUUGGCAAUUUUUAACGAAAAGAGCUGUACAAUUAGGGAAAAACCAGAAGAGUUAACAGGUGACAGUCAUAUUGCCUAUGAGUUUCAAGGUUAUUCCAGGGAUUGAUGAUAGAUGCUAUCUCGCAUAAUUUUGUUUUCCACCUUAUCUAACCCAUAUCACAGGCAUGUGGUUCCAAGGAUCUGUCAGCGUCGCAGCGAGCCGUCACUCGAAGAAAUAAUGAAACAAAAAGAAAAGUUAAGCGCAAUUGGCAUUUUCUUUGGCCGCAACUCGUUCCACGUGCAUACAGACCCCCUGACCCUGAACUGAAUCCCUUUCUUCGUUCCUGGAUCAGUCUAAACGAAGAAGGUUGAACUUACGAAGCAGCAACGAUGGGCGUGACCGUUGAAUAGACGGUAACAACUGUUAGGAAUGGCCUGCCGAGGUAGCAACAUGCAAGUUUUCUCAGCCAGCUGCAGCUGCGAGCGUUGCGAGCUUCCCCGAAGAGAACCACAGAAGCCUAUCACAAUUGCUGCGUUGACUCAUUUCGUAGGGACCUCGAGGUGCCACUUCAACACCCCCUCGGCGCCGUUGUGACUAAACGCGUUACUGAACCCGCCACCACCGACAUGGUCUCUCUGCAGCAAGAAGAGCUUCCCUAACAAAAGGAUGCUUUGCGGUACGUGGGCCCCAGGAUUCGUCAGUCUGCUGACACUCUUGGCGACUUUAGGACGCAAGACAUUGGAUAACCGGCGGCCACGCUGCGGGGGUCGGCUCGGGGAAUAAGACACGCCUUUCAAGACGUAAGCCCCGAGUUCUGCGGGGCUUGUCUCACCUCGGAGGGGGCAGUGAAACCUGUGCGGAAUGUGUGCGUAUGUCCUUCCCCCCUUCCCUCAAAGGCGGGCCGGCUACAAUUACUAGAACGUUUCCCUCACCUAGGGAUUUAGGGAACACGGAGUGUUUAUAAGCAGCUGUUUGUCGCUGCUAGUGCGUGCUCGUCAGGGUGCUCUGUGAUCGUGCUCGUGAGCAGUGUUUGGAGCUUCGUGCUCAUAUGCUGUAUGCUUCGUCUUGCGUGCUCCAUUUGGGAGCUACGCUAGAAUGUCGAAUGUCUCUCUUGUUUGAAUGUAAAUAUCUGUAAAUAAACCCUGCUCGCCUAGUCCUGUCCUCCCAAGCUCCUCCCUACGACCUACAACCCCUUCAACUGGUGGCAGCGGCGAGAUCGUCCGACAAACUCCGACAACUGUAUGCCAGCAGUGGGAUCGUCCUCCCAAUUCCAACUGAAUGGCAGCGGUGAGAUAGGCCUACGGCUCGUAGAUCGGCCUACAGCUCGUAGACAGCAAUGGCAGCUCACGGACUUUGGCACAUGAUGAUCGACCGGUAUCCUGAUCAAGUUGGAGGCAACUUGGGAUUGACCACCUCUUGCAACUGACUGGAUACGGCGGAGAAGGGCGGGUGAUAUGGUGCUGCUUCAGUGGUGGAUGUCAGCACUGGUCAGUCGAGAUUUUCCGGGACAUGGAGGAGCUGUUAGGAAUGGCCUGCCGAGGUGGCAACAUGCAAGUUUUCUCAGCCAGCUGCAGCUGCGAGCUUCCCCGAAAAGAACCAUGGAAGCCUAUCACAAUUGCUGUGUUGACUCAUUUCGUAGGGACCUCGAGGUCCUGCUUCAACACCCCCUCGGCGCCGUUGUGACUAAACGCGUUACUGAACCCGCCACCACCGACAUGGUCUCUCUGCAGCAAGAAGAGCUUCCCUAACAAAAGGGUGCUUUGCGGUACGUGGGCCUCAGGAUUCGUCACAGUCUGUUGACACUCGUGGCAACUACAGGAUGCGAGACAAUGGACAACUGGCGGCCAUGCUGCGGGGGUCAGCUCGGGGAAUAAGACACGCCUCUCAAGACGCAAGUCCUGAGUUCUGCGGGGCCCGUCUCACCUCGGAAGGGGCAGUGAAACCUGUGCGGAAUGUGUGCGUGUAAACCCCCUCCCCCUUUUCUCAAAGGCGGGCCGGCUACAAUGACUCGAACGUUUCCCUCACCUAGGGAUCUAGGGAACACGGAGUGUUUAUAAGCAGCUGUUUGUCGCUGCUAGUGCGUGCUCGUCAGGGUGCUCUGUGAUCGUGCUUUUCAUCGUGCUCGUGAGCAGUGUGUUUGGAGCUUCAUGCUCGUAUGCUUUGUCUUAUGUGCUCCAUUUGGGAGCCACGCUAGAAUGUCGAAUGUCUCUCUUGUUCUCAUGUAAAUAUCUGUAAAUAAAUCCUGCUCGCCUA